Long non-coding RNA from Gallus gallus (chicken), 3060 nucleotides. The record is from Ensembl. Lineage: Eukaryota; Metazoa; Chordata; Aves; Galliformes; Phasianidae.
CUGCUGCUCAUAAAGCACGGCUGGAAUCGCUCCCACAUGCCAAGAAAGCACUGUCCUGCUGUGAUUUACUGGACGCUGCUAAACAGAGAUCUCUGGCUGGAAAACCCAAGGCUGGACGCUGAGCAGAUGGCAAUGGUGGCUGAGAUUUAUCGGAAAGGAGACGUUCUUGUCUUGGUGCAGCUCAUACUUUACGAGUGCUUGCCACCUUCUGGUUUGAGAAAGGAUUACAACCGUUAAACUACUGGGAAUUGAGAGGAAAUCGACUGUAAAAACUCUGGUCCUGUUCCUAAUCCCCCUAAAAGGAUUGACGGAUUUGCAAAGUGCCAUAAUGCCUGUCAGAGAAUUUGGAAAUGAAAGGAUGGAUGAUGCUGUCGAUAUCCUUGAAGAAUGCCCUUUAACCAUUGUGUAAAAUAUUCAGGGAAAAUAUUGAGAGCAGGAGCAAUGGAAAAUUAAUCUUAAAAGCGAAAUAGGUGCAAAGCUUCCAAAAAGAAAAGAAUUUUGAAAUAGUGAACAUUUUUUCUCACAAAAAUGUUUGCAGAUUUUGACCAAUCUGACACUUCCACUCAAUCCUAUCAGCUGUCAUUUGUCUGCCCAGCUUCAGUGAUGCCACUUAAAAUGAUUACAUCUGCCCUUUGUGCAAGAGGAGGAUGCACAGUAUCUGUAAAAAAAAGACAACUUUACAGUCAUGGCUACUCAAAUAAUACGAAUAGCACUACAAAAAAAGUCAGAAUUACCUUAUUCAGUCAUUUUUGAUUUAGCCAGAUGAGUGUUUUCACAACACAUGUGUACUUCAUGAAGGCUAGUAAACACUUUUUCUAAUGGAUAUCACAUUGUCUGGCUUCAUGUAAUUCAAACUUCAUUUCAGAUGUCACAGUUUAGUCCUUAAAAACCAUUUAUAUUUAAUUUACCAUGAUCUUAAUAGAAGGCACCAGAGUAUCUGAACACAUUCCAGCAGUGUAUGAAGCACUGUGACUAACAUAUGCCAUUUGUUUGUUCAAUUUGUUCCUUCCCAGCAUGGGACAAAUGGGCAGCAAAGCACUUCUUUCUGUGUGUUUUUAUAAUAUGCACAAAGAACUAUGUUUGUAUUGGGAAAGGCAGGUCUGAACCAAUAUCCCUCACACACAGAGAGAAAAGCAGUGAGGUUUUGAUGCUCCCCAGUCGUUGUCAGGUCACAUAAGGAUUUUGGCCGGCACUCCAAAAAUGGUUGGUUGAUUUCUCGGAUAUAACUUGACCUUGCUGAUCUUCUCACUGUAGGGUACAAGCACGGCAGAGUCCCUGCUUACCUUCGCUAAUCAGAACAGAUUUGCUGUAUCCCCCCACUGGGUCUGUACGAUGACUGUGGUUGCAGCAAGAUGAGCAGCAGCCAUUUGCCCACUUUGACUCCCUAAGAAGGCUGGGGAAGAGAAGCCGAAAAUUGGAGGAGAGCUGGCAGCCUGUGUUCACUCCCUGUCCAUCUUUCCCUGGGGCUGUGCUUGGUGCUACAGCCAUUUCUGAGGGCCAGGAGCCACGCUCAGCUGAGGAAGCAGCCACCAGUGAUGGCCAUCUUCAGGUUUGCCCUGAACCCUCCAGAGCAGACCCAGGCCCACUUUGAGACUGUGAGGUUUUGAGCGUCAGGCACAGCCUGGCAGCUUGCUCUGACUUUGCUGCAUUCGUUGCUGUCUCUUAAGCAACAUUCAUCUGCAUUUCUCACAACAAUUCCUUUUUCUGUUUUUUUUUUUCUUUUGUUUUUUUUUUUUCUUCUUCUCAUCCUUAGGAUCAGGGUGCUGUUUUCUUAGAUUUGUUCUUGUGAAUCACUUCUGCUUAGUAGAUCGCUUUGUAACCACUUUGAGAAUACCAAGCAAUCAAAGUUUCAUUGCUAUGACUGUUCACUUAAAUGAUACAAUAUGUAUCUGCUCAUUAUGUGGUUGAAUGGCUUCCAGAUUUCCCAGUGCAUGCAUCUGAGGACGAUAUAUUUAAAAUUCCCACUUGGCAAAUGUUUUUCAAUACUGUCUUAAAUAAACUAGUUUCCAUGGAUGUUCUUGCCAAUACAUUUAUUAGUUCUGAUCUCUGGGCUUUAUCCAAACUGACCGGUCAUUUGUCAGUCAAAAUAUACAGAUGCAAAUGGUUGUGCCAUGAAAAAAAAAAAAAGGAAUUUUAGUUUCCAGUUCUUUCCAUGCUUGUGGUGGUGUUUUUCAUUCUGAGUACGGGACAUUUUCAGAAGGCGAAUUGUGAAACUGCUGUAGUAUCUGUUGCCUUUCUGAACACACGUGAGGCUCCACGAGGGUAUGUAACAGCAUGGCGAGAAACCAUUCCCAUCGCAGGAACAAACGAAGCUGAAUUUAUCUUGCCAUGGCAUUCACAAUUGAAAUGAAUAAAGACCCACAGGACUGCGUGCCAUUGGAUGGUGCCAAAUACAACCUUACAUGAGCUCCCUGCUAUCUGAAGGCUCCUGCUGCUUGCUGUAGCUCAUCACCAGGCAAACGGAUGAUUUAGUGCGUGCGAGUGUAGCCAUAAACCAAAAGCUUCCAGAUGAAAUAAUGCUCUCUCACUCUCAACAGAAGCAAUUACAAUGUAGCUGUCUGUACAGCCUUUAACAUUGCUACUAAAAGGCUGAGCUACUCUAAAGUGCACAGUGAUAGAGCUGAGUUUCUCCGGCUGAGUAGUUUUUGCACCUGCUGAACACAUCCUAUAGCCUUGGGAAUCUUAAAGGAAGACAGAAAAAGUCUACACAGCCUCACAGAGCGUGUGUUUUGGACGUGAAUACAUAACUUGCAUAUAAAAUAUAUACGCAUUCCUUCCUUUAUACACACACAUGCACAUAUGGUGAGAAAGCAAUGUCUUAUUUUGCUAUAUUUCUAAAAUAAAUCACUACUUUCAUAGGAUAAUUGAAAGAUUAUGCUCAUAGUUCUUCUAGUAUGGACUUAGAAUGAAUUUUCAUGAGAAAUAUCUUAUUUUCCCACAAAAUAUAUCCAGAGCAGAUAGAGUUUUCAGGAGCAAGUAAAGGAUACUCAGUUUUCCCUCACUUUAAUUCAAACAAUUCUUGGUGUUUCAAAAGUUUGACGAUAGCCCCACAGAAAAGAG